This 399-nucleotide ribosomal RNA is filed under the name uncultured bacterium. RNAcentral's name for it is "bacterial SSU rRNA". It matches the Rfam family "Bacterial small subunit ribosomal RNA", at positions 362 to 777 of the family's 1533-position model. The record is from RNAcentral.
UACUGCGCAAUGGGGGAAACCCUGACGCAGCAACGCCGCGUGAGUGAAGAAGUAUCUCGGUAUGUAAAGCUCUAUCAGCGGGGAAGAAAGAGGACGGUACCCGACUAAGAAGCCCCGGCUAACUACGUGCCAGCAGCCGCGGUAAUACGUAGGGGGCGAGCGUUAUCCGGAUUUACUGGGUGUAAAGGGAGCGUAGACGGCGUCGCAAGUCUGAAGUGAAAGCCCGUGGCUCAACCGCGGAACCGCUUUGGAAACUGCGUGGCUGGAGUGCUGGAGAGGUAAGCGGAAUUCCUGGUGUAGCGGUGAAAUGCGUAGAUAUCAGGAGGAACACCGGUGGCGAAGGCGGCUUACUGGACAGUGACUGACGUUGAGGCUCGAAAGCGUGGGGAGCGAACAGGA